GCCUCCUCGUCGAAGUCUGAAUAGUCACUGCCAUGCCGCAGAUUUUGAAUUACUAGUCCAGAUUUGUCUACUUUAGUUUGAUUACGAAUGAUAACAAGUUUGCACCCUUAUCUUUGCUCUGUUUUAUUUCCCUAGGUACCUUAUUUUGUCCAGUCAACAUCUCUGAAUUCUCUCCUAACGGCAGCAGGUGACUUCCUCACCAGCAACAUUUUUUAAAACAUGUUGGUGAUGUUUGCACAGGAGCUCGGUGUUGCUUCCAUACUCUGUUCUGUUGGUCAAGUUGGUGCUGCUCCCUCUGCAGUGCAGGAGAACAAUACCCAUAGAGAUGUGUGGAGUGGGCUAUGUCAUCCUUUGACCACCAUGAUUGGCUUCUACCGACGAGGUGAGGUGAUUGAUCUUUUUGAUGUUCAAUUCAUCAAUUGUCAUUUCAAAUCCUUGGACUGGUGGCCGAGAUUGUAUUAGUUAUUCGUAGAGAUAUAUUUUGUACCAAAGUUAAAUUAGUAAGCUUCAGUAUUUGUGCAUGUGUCUUUUCCCUUUCGAGCAAAUGAAGUCCCUGUUAGAAAAUUUUAGGAUCAGAUGUUUUAUCCUUUGUGAUGCAAUCAAAGGCUAAAGAUUUCAUCUCACUAUUGGUUGAGAUUUUAGAUUUUCUUUGACCAGAGCAGUGUCCAUCAAUUUUAGGAUCAGAUGUUUUAUCCUUUGUGAGAAUUUCUAGCUUCUAUGAAUAUACAAUCAUCAACUCUGUACCAAACAUAUCGUAUGUUGUUCAGGCUCAUGUAGCUCUAAUAUUGAGUGCCUCAAAAUAGAACUCUCCGAAAAAUUCCAGUAACUUUAUAACAGCUUCAUUUUAUAUUCCAAGCACUUGGCUUCAAUGGUGAACAAAGCAUCCACCUGACAGCCCUACAGCUUCAUGUUUGAUGUUUUUUGUCAGGAUUUAUGGCUUUUAUUAGUAUACAUGUUUACCUCCAAUCUGGUAGUGGUACUUUUAUGUCUAGAGUUGCUUCUGCUAGCUACACCCUCUGCAAAGUCAUUUAUAUGUUGGUUGUUGCAGCAGCGCCGGCUUGUGGCCCUUGGUGUCUAGAACGGUGAUGAAGACGAUAACAAAGACGAUUGUGGCCUGUACGAAGGCUUCUAGGCAGUGGAUAAGAAGCAGGGCCACCUUGUCCUGGUGCUCUCAGGUGAGAAUGGCCCUUAGUCUAACAUGCCCGAGUUGUAAUAUGGCAUGAUUGAGGAGCUUCCUUUACUAGAUUAUUUUGGAAGUGUUAAAAACUAAGACUGUUGGUUGUUGUGCAUCAGAUGCCUGAGUUUGGUGCCUAUCGAGAUUGACGAUGAAGAUGUCAUUGCCCGCAUACGUGCCAGGGCACGAAAGAGAGAAGAAGUGGCCCCCGAGAGUCGAGAUGUGGAAAGCCCUAGGUAAAGUGGCAAGAUGACCAGACGUGCAACUUGUGCUUUUCUUUGUUGGCUGGAGGUUGCUGCUGAAGUGAUAUUGACGUGCUGGUGCUGGUACAUAGACAGGCCUGGUUUACUUGAUGGUGGCUGACUUGUCGGCUGGCGUGUAUUGAGCCGAAGAAGUAGUAGUGUUGAAUUCUAAGCUCUUGUUGAUGUUUUUUUAUUUUCUCGUGUGAGAGGGUGAUAUAUCAAGUGUAAAGUUUUGCAUGCUUGUUUCUAUGGAUCUGUUUGAAAUGAAACUGAGACUUGUGUGUCAGGCCUGUCUAUCAGUCUCUUAAUGUUCCUCACGCUAUGCAAUGCAUAAUAUCUAUCUGUUGGAAGGAUC
RNAcentral lists this long non-coding RNA (1771 nucleotides) under Triticum aestivum (bread wheat). Its description in RNAcentral is "long non-coding RNA (TAES_LNC006569)". The record is from RNAcentral. Lineage: Eukaryota; Viridiplantae; Streptophyta; Magnoliopsida; Poales; Poaceae.